RNAcentral lists this ribosomal RNA (293 nucleotides) under uncultured bacterium. Its description in RNAcentral is "partial 16S ribosomal RNA". It matches the Rfam family "Bacterial small subunit ribosomal RNA", at positions 790 to 1084 of the family's 1533-position model. The record is from RNAcentral.
GUAGUCCACGCCGUAAACGAUGGGCACUAGGUGUGGGAGGUGUCGACUCCUCCCGUGCCGGCGCUAACGCAUUAAGUGCCCCGCCUGGGGAGUACGGCCGCAAGGCUAAAACUCAAAGGAAUUGACGGGGCCCGCACAAGCAGCGGAGCAUGUGGUUUAAUUCGAUGCAACGCGAAGAACCUUACCUGGGCUUGACAUGUAACUGACAGCCGUGGAAACACGGUCUUCCUUCGGGACAGUUACACAGGUGUGCAUGGCUGUCGUCAGCUCGUGUCGUGAGAUGUUGGGUUAAG